This 1402-nucleotide ribosomal RNA is filed under the name uncultured bacterium. RNAcentral's name for it is "bacterial SSU rRNA". It matches the Rfam family "Bacterial small subunit ribosomal RNA". The record is from RNAcentral.
AGAGUUUGAUCCUGGCUCAGGAUGAACGCUGGCGGCGUGCUUAACACAUGCAAGUCGAACGAAGAUAUUAAGAAUGAGAGCUUCGGCAGGAAUUUUUUCUAUCUUAGUGGCGGACGGGUGAGUAACGUGUGGGCAACCUGCCCUGCACUGGGGAAUAAUCAUUGGAAACGAUGACUAAUACCGCAUACGGUUCCUGGGAGGCAUCUUUCGGGAAAGAAAGGAUUUAUUCGGUGCAGGAUGGGCCCGCAUCUGAUUAGCUAGUUGGUGAGAUAACAGCCCACCAAGGCGACGAUCAGUAGCCGACCUGAGAGGGUGACCGGCCACAUUGGGACUGAGACACGGCCCAAACUCCUACGGGAGGCAGCAGUGGGGAAUAUUGCACAAUGGGCGAAAGCCUGAUGCAGCAACGCCGCGUGAAGGAAGAAGGGUUUCGGCUCGUAAACUUCUAUCAACAGGGACGAAAGAAAUGACGGUACCUGAAUAAGAAGCCCCGGCUAACUACGUGCCAGCAGCCGCGGUAAUGCGUAGGGGGCAAGCGUUAUCCGGAAUUACUGGGUGUAAAGGGUGAGUAGGCGGCAUGGUAAGCCAGAUGUGAAAGCCUUGGGCUUAACCCGAGGAUUGCAUUUGGAACUAUCAAGCUAGAGUACAGGAGAGGAAAGCGGAAUUCCUAGUGUAGCGGUGAAAUGCGUAGAUAUUAGGAAGAACACCAGUGGCGAAGGCGGCUUUCUGGACUGAAACUGACGCUGAGGCACGAAAGCGUGGGGAGCGAACAAGGAUUAGAUACCCUGGUAAGUCCACGCCGUAAACCGAAUGAGUGCUAGGUGUCGGGGGAAGGGAAUCCCCGGUGCCGCAGCUAACGCAAUAAAGCACUCCACCUGGGGAGUACGACCGCAAGGUUGAAACUCAAAGGAAUUGACGGGGGCCCGCACAAAGCGGUGGAGCAUGUGGUUUAAUUCGAAGCAACGCGAAGAACCUUACCAAGGCUUGACAUCCCGAUGACAGGUGUAGAGAUACGCUUUCCCUUCGGGGCAUUGGUGACAGGUGGUGCAUGGUUGUCGUCAGCUCGUGUCGUGAGAUGUUGGGUUAAGUCCCGCAACGAGCGCAACCCUUACCCUUAGUAGCCAUCAUUAAGUUGGGCACUCUAGGGGGACUGCCGUGGAUAACACGGAGGAAGGUGGGGAUGACGUCAAAUCAUUAUGCCCCUUAUGUCUUGGGCUACACACGUGCUACAAUGGCUGGCAACAAAGUGAAGCGAGACGGCGACGUUAAGCAAAUCACAAAAACCCAGUCCCAGUUCGGAUUGCAGUCUGCAACUCGACUGCAUGAAGCUGGAAUCGCUAGUAAUCGCGAAUCAGAAUGUCGCGGUGAAUACGUUCCCGGGCCUUGCACACACCGCCCGUCA